This 253-nucleotide ribosomal RNA is filed under the name uncultured bacterium. Its description in RNAcentral is "partial 16S ribosomal RNA". It matches the Rfam family "Bacterial small subunit ribosomal RNA", at positions 524 to 776 of the family's 1533-position model. The record is from RNAcentral.
UACGGAGGGUGCAAGCGUUAUCCGGAUUCACUGGGUUUAAAGGGUGCGUAGGCGGGCAGGUAAGUCCGUGGUGAAAUCUCUGAGCUUAACUCAGAAACUGCCAUGGAUACUAUUUGUCUUGAAUAUUGUGGAGGUAAGCGGAAUAUGUCAUGUAGCGGUGAAAUGCUUAGAUAUGACAUAGAACACCAAUUGCGAAGGCAGCUUACUACACAGUUAUUGACGCUGAGGCACGAAAGCGUGGGGAUCGAACAGG